UACGUAGGGUGCGAGCGUUGUCCGGAAUUACUGGGCGUAAAGAGCUCGUAGGUGGUUUGUCGCGUUGUUCGUGAAAACUCACAGCUCAACUGUGGGCGUGCGGGCGAUACGGGCAGACUGGAGUACUGCAGGGGAGACUGGAAUUCCUGGUGUAGUGGUGAAAUGCGUAGAUAUCGGGAGGAACACCAGUGGCGAAGGCGACUACCUGGCCUGUUCUUGACGCUGAGGCGCGAAGGCUAGGGGAGCAAACGGG
Molecule: ribosomal RNA, 253 nt
Filed under: uncultured bacterium
Lineage: Bacteria
Description: partial 16S ribosomal RNA
Rfam family: Bacterial small subunit ribosomal RNA
Source: RNAcentral